Molecule: ribosomal RNA, 468 nt
Filed under: uncultured bacterium
Lineage: Bacteria
Description: partial 16S ribosomal RNA
Rfam family: Bacterial small subunit ribosomal RNA
Source: RNAcentral
GACGAACGCUGGCGGCGUGCUUAACACAUGCAAGUCGAACGGUGAAGCUCCAGCUUGCUGGAGUGGAUCAGUGGCGAACGGGUGAGUAACACGUGAGCAACCUGCCCCUGACUCUGGAAUAAGCGCUGGAAACGGCGUCUAAUACUGGAUACGAGAAGGGUCCGCAUGGGCACUUUCUGGAAAGUUUUUCGGUUGGGGAUGGGCUCGCGGCCUAUCAGCUUGUUGGUGAGGUAAUGGCUCACCAAGGCAACGACGGGUAGCCGGCCUGAGAGGGCGACCGGCCACACUGGGACUGAGACACGGCCCAGACUCCUACGGGAGGCAGCAGUGGGGAAUAUUGCACAAUGGGCGAAAGCCUGAUGCAGCGACGCCGCGUGAGGGAUGACGGCCUUCGGGUUGUAAACCUCUUUCAGCAGGGAAGAAGCGAAAGUGACGGUACCUGCAGAAGAAGCACCGGCUAACUACGUG